Molecule: ribosomal RNA, 508 nt
Filed under: uncultured bacterium
Lineage: Bacteria
Description: bacterial SSU rRNA
Rfam family: Bacterial small subunit ribosomal RNA
Source: RNAcentral
GAUGAACGCUAGCGAUAGGCCUAACACAUGCAAGUCGAGGGGCAUCACAUGAGGCAGCAAUGCCGAUGGUGGCGACCGGCGCACGGGUGAGUAACACGUAUGCAACCUGCCUUCAACAAGGGGAUAACCCGUUGAAAAACGGACUAAUACCCUAUAAUACAGGGGUCCCGCAUGGGGAUAUUUGUUAAAGAUUGAUCGGUUGAAGAUGGGCAUGCGUUCCAUUAGCUGGUUGGUGAGGUAACGGCUCACCAAGGCAACGAUGGGAUAGGGGAACUGAGAGGUUUAUCCCCCACACUGGUACUGAGACACGGACCAGACUCCUACGGGAGGCAGCAGUGAGGAAUAUUGGUCAAUGGACGCAAGUCUGAACCAGCCACGUCGCGUGAAGGAAGACGGCCCUACGGGUUGUAAACUUCUUUUGUAAGGGAAUAAAGUGUAGUACGCGUACUAUUUUGCAUGUACCUUACGAAUAAGGAUCGGCUAACUCCGUGCCAGCAGCCGCGGUAAA